This 450-nucleotide ribosomal RNA is filed under the name uncultured bacterium. RNAcentral's name for it is "partial 16S ribosomal RNA". It matches the Rfam family "Bacterial small subunit ribosomal RNA", at positions 354 to 796 of the family's 1533-position model. The record is from RNAcentral.
GUGGGGAAUUUUGGACAAUGGGCGAAAGCCUGAUCCAGCAAUGCCGCGUGUGUGAAGAAGGCCUUCGGGUUGUAAAGCACUUUUGUCCGGAAAGAAAUCCUUUGGGUUAAUACCUCGGAGGGAUGACGGUACCGGAAGAAUAAGGACCGGCUAACUACGUGCCAGCAGCCGCGGUAAUACGUAGGGUCCGAGCGUUAAUCGGAAUUACUGGGCGUAAAGCGUGCGCAGGCGGUUUUGUAAGACAGAUGUGAAAUCCCCGGGCUUAACCUGGGAAUUGCAUUUGUGACUGCAAGGCUAGAGUGUGUCAGAGGGGGGUAGAAUUCCACGUGUAGCAGUGAAAUGCGUAGAGAUGUGGAGGAAUACCGAUGGCGAAGGCAGCCCCCUGGGAUAACACUGACGCUCAUGCACGAAAGCGUGGGGAGCAAACAGGAUUAGAUACCCGUGUAGUCC